Molecule: ribosomal RNA, 659 nt
Filed under: uncultured Actinomycetes bacterium
Lineage: Bacteria; Bacillati; Actinomycetota; Actinomycetes
Description: SSU rRNA
Rfam family: Bacterial small subunit ribosomal RNA
Source: RNAcentral
CUUGUUGGUGGGGUAACGGCCUACCAAGGCGACGACGGGUAGCCGGCCUGAGAGGGCGACCGGCCACACUGGGACUGAGACACGGCCCAGACCCCUACGGGAGGCAGCAGUGGGGAAUAUUGCGCAAUGGGCGAAAGCCUGACGCAGCGACGCCGCGUGGGGGAUGAAGGCCUUCGGGUUGUAAACCCCUUUCAGCAGGGACGAAGCGAAAGUGACGGUACCUGCAGAAGAAGCGCCGGCUAACUACGUGCCAGCAGCCGCGGUAACACGUAGGGCGCAAGCGUUGUCCGGAAUUAUUGGGCGUAAAGAGCUCGUAGGCGGUCUGUUGCGUCCGCUGUGAAAACUCGGGGCUUAACCCCGAGCCUGCAGUGGAUACGGGCAGACUAGAGGUAGGUAGGGGAGAAUGGAAUUCCCGGUGUAGCGGUGAAAUGCGCAGAUAUCGGGAGGAACACCGGUGGCGAAGGCGGUUCUCUGGGCCUUACCUGACGCUGAGGAGCGAAAGCGUGGGGAGCGAACAGGAUUAGAUACCCUGGUAGUCCACGCCGUAAACGUUGGGCGCUAGGUGUGGGAUCCUUCCACGGAUUCCGUGCCGCAGCUAACGCAUUAAGCGCCCCGCCUGGGGAGUACGGCCGCAAGGCUAAAACUCAAAGGAAUUGACG